GGAAGGCUGAGAACCACUGCUGUACAGACAUCCAAACACAGAAUCCGGCUUCUCAGAUAUGUCUGGGAUCCCUUCAUCGUUGUCCCCAUACUCCUAGGGAGGCACAGCCCCACAUCAGGACACACACUCACAUCUCUGUGCAACGGGGAACCGUGUUCUUCUUUCCCUGUCAUUUCUAUUUCCACACACUAUGCUAUAUUUCCAAAUUUGCUUUUUUUAUAUCUUCAUCACUCAGCUUAAGGAUGUGUCUGAUCCGUUGACCAAACUUUUUUCUGUUUUGUGAUUCUUCUGCAGGGUCUGGGUCACUGCUCUGCACACACAACCACAGACAGUACAACAGCAGCCUCCAGUCCCUUGUUGUUGAACUUUGAGGAUGCUGGGCAUCUAAGGACCCUGUCUAAAACAAAACAAAUCUUGACCAUGGAAGAGUAGUAUAAGUAAAAAGGGGAGACAGAAAUGUCUUUUGUGGCUCCAGAUAUCUGCUAGAUCUUUCAGUAUAGCUAUAAAUUUCUUCAAAAGACUUCAAUGACCCAACAAAAUCCUCUCGACACUGUGACACUUACAUUAUCAACUUCAGCGUCCAUACUUGAGAGGCAUUCAAUGAAGUUCCAAAAGAAACAUCAACAAAAAAAUGUUUUAAGUAAACUUAUGAUUUGGGAUUGGGUCACAUUCAUAGUUAUCCUUGAGCAGAACAGCUAAGGAGGCAAAAGAAGAAAACUACACGGACUUUAUCCUGCAGAAGGCUGUAUUAAACGAUGUUACUUAAGAGCUUCCAGCAUGCUGGUUUCCUACUAAUAAAUUCCAAAAUUUUCCAAAAAUGUUCACCUGCAAUGCUGUGUUGGGGUAGUCCCACGGCCAGACUGUAGUACACAGGUACCUGCUGUCCUGUAAAAGAGGACAUUGUCUGUACAUAGGUGGACAAAGAAAGUAACUUUGUUGACAAGGUCUAUCCUGGUAGCAGGAGACAGUGU
Long non-coding RNA from Microtus ochrogaster (prairie vole), 971 nucleotides. RefSeq lists it as uncharacterized. NCBI's taxonomy places the organism in Eukaryota, Metazoa, Chordata, Mammalia, Rodentia, Cricetidae. The record is from RefSeq and is a predicted model, not a curated record. The transcript is spliced from 3 exons.